This is an RNA transcript of Panicum virgatum (switchgrass), 1651 nucleotides long. RefSeq lists it as uncharacterized. The record is from RefSeq and is a predicted model, not a curated record. The transcript is spliced from 2 exons. Lineage: Eukaryota; Viridiplantae; Streptophyta; Magnoliopsida; Poales; Poaceae.
AAUAAGCUAUUCCAUACCCGACCUAACUCGCGCCCGAGCCGACCCCGCGCCGAGCUCCUCCCACCCGUCCGAUUUUUCUCCUCGCCGGUUCCCGGAUGGUCACCCCCAGCUCGUAACAGAUAGUGGCCACGAUCUCGUCUUCCUGCGCCGCCUGCUCUCCCGUCUUGCCCGGCGUCGCUUGCUCUCCCGUCCUGCCCUUGCGCCGCCGGCGACCGUGCCGCCCCGGCGAGCUGCACCCCUCACCGACCAACACGCACCCCCACCCAUCCCACGCCGCCAGCUCGUUUCCGAUUUUGCAUACCCUGAUUUUUUUUCCCACAGUUGUCGGUUUCCAAUUAGAUCGAUCAUUCCGCUCCGCUCCUCCCGUCGCCAUCGACGGUUCCGUGCUCUGCGAGUUCGAUCUGUUUUUUCCAGCCGCCGUCGACCCCUAGGAGAGCUCCUUCCGAUGGCGCCGGAGUCCUGCCACCUGAUCCGCUCGGCCUGCCUUCCACUCCGCAUGAGCUCCCUCAGCACACGCGGGAGCAUCCAUCUCCGUGCCCUUGCGCUGGACCCGUGUGGCAGCAAGGCGUCGAUUGCGAGUUUCCUCACGCCCGGCGCCGGCGGCUUCCUCCUCACCUCGAGCAGUGGAACGCUUUGGAGAUCCACCGGCCCAGGUACACAAGACCGACGUGGAGCAGCUCAGAAGAGUUUCAGUUUUUUCAGAUGAAUCGCUGCUGAUUCCCCCGCAUGGUGCAAGGUGCCAUCUACCCUCACCCUUAUUGGACAAUUUCUAUCAUAGGUGCCGAUGCUUUGUCCAGGUUGUAGUUCAAAUUAGGUUGUUGUAAACGGUAUCUGUGUGAUUCUUAUCCAACUUUCCCUUCCCUGUUCUUGUCAGUGUAUCCUAACAAAAUGUCGAUCCGCAGGGUUGGUUCUCAACCGAGCAGUGGGGGGUGACGCCGCACCCGCACGCUUCCAUGAUUUUCAGUCCGAUCACUCCCGGGUACCAAUGCAGGGGCACCCUCCCUUGAGCUGCGCAAUGCAUGGAUGAGGUUCGGUAUUGGGGGCUUUACAUGCUUCGAGACAUAGACAAGGAUGCUGAAUGCGCGCCUGCAGCCAGUAGACAAGGAAGCGGUCACAGGUACCCAUGUAUUUCAGUGUUGCUGCUCCUGCUUUAGCUGGAGACGAUGGCCACGAGCUCAACUAGUUAAUGGGAGGACAUCAUGCGCCUGUCUCUUCUCUAAUCGUGCCAACUGAAUUGUGUGCACUAUCAGAGCCGUGGGCUAGUAGCCGAGCAAUCAGUAGCUGUCAGCUCAUCAGUUAUGCUUGUAUAUUGUGCAGAAGGCCGGCUACAAGGACUGCUUUGCUGGAGUUGCUUUGCCGGAGAUCGGGGCCUGGAGAUGUUUGCUUGCCAAAAAUCUCACGCACAGGAGUGCUGUAACUGGAGGAGUUCCUUGCUUGCUUGCCGGAGAUGGCGGGUGGAUGGUUAAAUUUAGAUUAGAGGCAUAGAGCGGGUGUACUUCGUACACCAAAUAUCAAUUUGUCAAUCAUAUACAAAUGAAAACCGUAGGCUCUGGAUCAUAAAUGCUGUAUUUUGUUUUAUGUGGAGGCCUAUGGUGAAAUCAUGAAUCCUAAGGUUUUUAAUCAGAGACUUGCAUUUUAUUGUGACACUAAA